UCCUGCGCCAUUACCUCACCUCACACCAGCUCUGACAGAGCUCAGAACAGGCCCUGCUCCGACACACUCUGGAACAGAUGUGUAUAAAACGUCUUCACCACAUCACAUGUAAGGAAUCAGAUUCUGCUGCUUUAUGGGUCUGAAAUUUGUUCCAGACACUUAAAACACGGUGUGGAAUCAACAUCCUUCCAUAAUGCAACAGCCAGUUUUAUAGUGCAGCACACAACAUACUUCCAAAAUGAUAAAACCGCCUAUCUUCCACAGUGUUCAGCCAGCCAGAAUCCAGACUUGGAUGGGAAAUCUGCAUCUGGUUUCACUUUUCAAUAACAAAACAAAAAUCACAGGCAUCAUUCAUUAUCUAUGAGGUCCAACAUGAAGGCUUUCAAGUACACUUUAAGAACUAAUUAAAUGUGUAUUUAAAACUGAACUGAAUGUAAAUACUAAACUGAAACUGAACUGAUUAACUUGCAACCUUUUGUGCCUGAUUAUCUCGCUGAAGAAUGAGCUUUUGGCACUCUGGACGUUUGCGCUGGAGGAUCAAUUUCCUGUUCACAUCAAGACUGCUAGGGAAAUCUUCCACACAUUUGAUUCAACUUACAUUUAAAGUGUCUGCUUAGCCUUGGACAAAGGACUAGACACAGAUAAUGUUUUUGACUGGGUAAGAUAAUGCUUUGAAUUUAGGGGCUAAACUGUAUCAGUUUUGCCAUUAGACUACAGGCUAAAAUUCAAGGAUGGUCAAGGCAGUCUGGCCAGGCUGUCUAUUAUCAGACCUCUCCCUUUCAACCAAGAACUUAGAUAGCACAGAAACUCCACAACUCCUCAUUUUGGUUUACAUUCUCUUAGCACAGCAGCACACACUUGUGAGAUACACUAAUCUUCUGCUUUUGAUACAGCUAAGGAGGAAAAUGAGAUUCAUAAACUAUAGCCUUAGUUCAGUUCAAAAAUAUUAUCCUAGUAGCUAAAAAAAGAUGUCAUUUGCUCCUACUAUUGUUUCUAUUGAUAAUUCCUUAUUACAGCCAUCCUUUCUUGCACCUCUGAAGUUAGGAAUUCAGGUUUUAAGUCAUAUAACUGACUUUAUAUGUUGUUUAUUUCUGUGUUUCUUUCACUUGAAGGUAGAAAGCACACUGCUAAAUUUUAUACACUUGUAUUACAGCAACACAAGGCCAGACAAGCCUCAAGCUCCCUCCAUGCUGGCCUCUGCCCCAACGAGGCUGCAGUCUUCUAUCAGACAGGAUAUAAGAGAACAGGCGGAUGCAGACGGAGGGAGAGGUACUAACUGAAUAGCAUUCAAAGAAAAAAAAUAGGAGUCUGCUGCUUCCAAGAGCCAGGAGACAUUUUUAUGCAGCAUACCUCACUAGGAACAUCACAGGAUAAAAAAAAAGAGCCCACUGUUUGCACUUCACUAUAUAUCCUAUUUCAGACUAUGCAGGACAGGCAGCACAACCCAAAUUAAAAGCAUUCCUAACAGAGAGUGUUGCUCUUUUACUGCGAUUGUUGCAAGUCACAUUAGGAUAAAGUUGUGAAGUGUUUGAACACAUUUGCAUUUGAACUUAAUUAAUUUUCAUCGGAGUUUGAGCUUCAUUAAUUUUCAUAGGAGUUUUGACAAUUUUCUCAUUCGUUGUUGAAAUCACAACAUGAGUUUUCCAUAUGCAAGGCAAAUACAAUAAUAUCAGCUCACAAAGU
Molecule: long non-coding RNA, 1683 nt
Organism: Neopsephotus bourkii (Bourke's parrot)
Lineage: Eukaryota; Metazoa; Chordata; Aves; Psittaciformes; Psittacidae
Exons: 2
Source: RefSeq, a predicted model, not a curated record